UUUUUCUUUGUUUUUUUGCACAUACAGUGAACUUCACAGCUACUUUUCUGCACCUCCACACAAGUUAGAGAAGUUCUAGAGCAAAUCCAUUAGUUUGUCAAGUAAAAUCCAAUAGCAGAAAUCCUUUAGGUAUUUUUUUCCUCCUAUCUGGAUUGCUGCCUUUGUUUUCUGUGGUUUGAUUACUAGGAUGAGGGGAAGUAAAUUGCUAUCAUUUCCAUUCUUCUCGCCUAAUUCCUUACUGGUUUGCUCCUUAAUCCUAUAUAAAGCAAUCUCUUUUCUGAUUUGCCCAUCCUUUCCUUUACGACGGAUUGUCAAACGUCCAAGGAAUGGUAUGAGGAUUCCAGUUCUCCAUCUUCCAUUCCAGAUAAGCAAACAGUUUGUUACAGUUACCUAGCCUUUCAAAUUGCCUUCGUUUUUUACUGAAGCAAAUAUAUUCUAACCUUUUUCUUUUGUUGUGAGAUGGAAUCAUGAUUCCUUUUUCUAGGUGUGUUUUCUUUCAUUUGAAUGCUUUGAUGGAACAUGGAGGAGCUCAUCUUUUGAGGGUUUUUUUU
RNAcentral lists this unclassified non-coding RNA (551 nucleotides) under Hevea brasiliensis (rubber tree). Lineage: Eukaryota; Viridiplantae; Streptophyta; Magnoliopsida; Malpighiales; Euphorbiaceae. The record is from RNAcentral.